CCUACGGGAGGCUGCAGUGAGGAAUAUUGGUCAAUGGACGCAAGUCUGAACCAGCCAUGCCGCGUGCAGGAAGACGGCUCUAUGAGUUGUAAACUGCUUUUGUACGAGGGUAAAUCCCGAUACGUGUAUCGGGUUGAAAGUAUCGUACGAAUAAGGAUCGGCUAACUCCGUGCCAGCAGCCGCGGUAAUACGGAGGAUUCAAGCGUUAUCCGGAUUUAUUGGGUUUAAAGGGUGCGUAGGCGGUUCGAUAAGUUAGAGGUGAAAUGUCCGAGCUCAACUCGGGAACUGCCUCUAAUACUGUUGAUCUAGAGAGUAGAUGCGGUAGGCGGAAUGUAUGGUGUAGCGGUGAAAUGCUUAGAGAUCAUACAGAACACCGAUUGCGAAGGCAGCUUACCAAUCUAUAUCUGACGUUGAGGCACGAAAGCGUGGGGAGCAAACAGGAUUAGAUACCCCUGUAGUC
This 460-nucleotide ribosomal RNA is filed under the name uncultured bacterium. Its description in RNAcentral is "partial 16S ribosomal RNA". It matches the Rfam family "Bacterial small subunit ribosomal RNA", at positions 338 to 795 of the family's 1533-position model. The record is from RNAcentral.